GAUGAACGCUGGCGGCGUGCUUAACACAUGCAAGUCGAACGGAAAGGCCCUGCUCUUGUGGGUUGCUCGAGUGGCGAACGGGUGAGUAACACGUGAGUAACCUGCCCUUGACUUUGGGAUAACUUCAGGAAACUUGGGCUCAUAUCGGAUAGGAGCUCCUGCUGCAUGUUGGGGGUUGGAAAGUUUCGGCGGUUGUGGAUGGACUCGCGGCUUAUCAGCUUGUUGGUGGGGUAGUGGCUUACCAAGGCUUUGACGGGUAGCCGGACUGAGAGGGUGACCGGCCACAUUGGGACUGAGAGAAGGCAGAGACUCCUACGGGAGGGAGCAGUGGGGAAUAUUGCACAGUGAGGGGAAGCCUGAUGCAGCAACGCCGCGUGCGGGAUGACGGACUUCGAGGGGUAAACAGCUUUCGCCUGUGACGAAGAGUGAGUGACGGUAAUGGGUAAAGAAGCACCGGCUAACUACGUG
Molecule: ribosomal RNA, 468 nt
Filed under: uncultured bacterium
Lineage: Bacteria
Description: partial 16S ribosomal RNA
Rfam family: Bacterial small subunit ribosomal RNA
Source: RNAcentral